CCUACGGGUGGCAGCAGUGGGGAAUAUUGCACAAUGGGGGGAACCCUGAUGCAGCGACGCCGCGUGGGUGAGGAAGUACUUCGGUAUGUAAAGCCCUAUCAGCAGGGAAGAAAAUGACGGUACCUGACUAAUAAGCCCCGGCUAACUACGUGCCAGCAGCCGCGGUAAUACGUAGGGGGCAAGCGUUAUCCGGUUGUACUGGGGGUAAAGGUAGCGUAGACGGCGGGCCAAGUCUGAUGUGAAAGCCCGGGGCUCAACCCCAGGAGUGCAUUGGAAACUGGGCUGCUGGAGUGCCGGAGGGGAAAGUGGAAUUCCUAGUGUAGCGGUGAAAUGCGUAGAUAUUAGGAGGAACACCGGUGGCGAAGGCGGCUUGCUGGACGGUAACUGACGUUGAGGCUCGAAAGCGUGGGGAGCAAACAGGAUUAGAUACCCCUGUAGUC
RNAcentral lists this ribosomal RNA (440 nucleotides) under uncultured bacterium. Its description in RNAcentral is "partial 16S ribosomal RNA". It matches the Rfam family "Bacterial small subunit ribosomal RNA", at positions 338 to 795 of the family's 1533-position model. The record is from RNAcentral.